This 1121-nucleotide long non-coding RNA is filed under the name Capsicum annuum. Its description in RNAcentral is "long non-coding RNA (CANN_LNC005873)". The record is from RNAcentral. Lineage: Eukaryota; Viridiplantae; Streptophyta; Magnoliopsida; Solanales; Solanaceae.
GACAGUUUGGAGCUUAAUUACAGAAAAUCACGACAUUUUGCAUAAUUAUCGAAAAUCUUGAUUUUGGGUCUAUCGAGAUACAUAAUUUAGCUCCAGAUACAUCCAAUCAAGAUACAUUUUUUCUUUGUACGGAUACAUAAUUAACUUCCAACAUAUUUUUUUUUUUUUGUGAUUUUAGGUCUAUUGAGAUACGUAAUUAGCUUCCGAUACAUUUAAAGAAGAUACAUAAUUAAUUGGGAUUUUUAUAGUUACUUUGUAAGGGUGAGAAUUUAUGUUAAUAUGAUAAAUUAAAAUUAAGGUUUAUAUUUAUGUUAUUUUUCCUUAUUAUUUCAAUACGGUGUCCCUUCGCAUGCUAAUUAAUUAAAUCAGUUUGUCAAAAUAAAAGUAUUAUCACAAAAUGAGCCUUGAUAGAACAAAUAUGAUAAUAUUCAUUUGCUUGAAAAGGGAGAAGUCACUUCAACCUUUAUGCAAACACAAAACAAUGUGUCCCUAUAAAGCACACACAUUUGCCAACAUACAAGUGCGGCUAAAACAAAUCAACCAAAACUAAAAGAAAACUUUUAGCACUCAAAUUUGGAGAGCUAAACCAUAUUGCAAAACACAAUACUUGCUACUACUAACUUACAACCCAAUCACAAUAAAUAUGAGAAGUAACUAGAGGACCACAACAAAUUUAAUACCACACCUUAGCAGCAAAAACAAAAAAAGACCUUAGAAUAGAAAGCUCCAUAGAUUUGCUCAGUAACAGGUUUGUUCGUUCUGGCUGUUAAUUAAGCAAGAGCGAUAGGUGAUGCAACAUCCUUAUUGCUACAUACUUUUAACUUGACAGAUUCAUCAUUCUUAUUGCUACAUACUUUUAACUUGACAGAUUCAUUCAAUUUUACUCACGAAGGAUGGAGAGGGAAUUUACCGGCGACGACAAUGAGCUUUGCACAUGUGUAUACAAUCGUAAUAACAAGGUCCUCCACAAUGAAGAGGACAAUCCAAACGCAUUCCUUUGCAUCUUCCUUUAACCAUGCAUUGUGCAAAUUCACCUAUCUUGUAAUCUUUACUAUUGUUCAUAUGCCAAUGUCUAUGAUGAUCAUUAUGUUCUUUUUCUUUCCUACAUCCCCAUGCNNNNN